AGAGCUUUCGGGAAUCGCUUUUCCGUUUUACGAGAUUAUGCCGGGGAAGGUUUUCCGGUUUGCUCCGGAGGGCUUGUAGCUCAGUUGGUUAGAGCGCGCGCUUGAUAAGCGUGAGGUCGGAGGUUCAAGUCCUCCCAGGCCCACCAAUUUGAAAGUGUUUAUAACAUAUGCUUGUGAAAGAUUUGUGAUGUUUGUCCCUUUUGUUCAAGUAGUCUAGAUACGAAAUUUUUGGAACCUUUAUCCUGUUUUUGAAGGGGCCGUAGCUCAGCUGGGAGAGCACCUGCUUUGCAAGCAGGGGGACGACAGGUUC
This 310-nucleotide unclassified non-coding RNA is filed under the name uncultured Bartonella sp. RNAcentral describes it as "partial 16S-23S ribosomal RNA intergenic spacer". The stretch from base 70 to 143 matches the Rfam family "tRNA". The record is from RNAcentral. Lineage: Bacteria; Pseudomonadati; Pseudomonadota; Alphaproteobacteria; Hyphomicrobiales; Bartonellaceae.